This 396-nucleotide ribosomal RNA is filed under the name uncultured bacterium. RNAcentral describes it as "bacterial SSU rRNA". It matches the Rfam family "Bacterial small subunit ribosomal RNA", at positions 505 to 898 of the family's 1533-position model. The record is from RNAcentral.
GUGCCAGCAGCCGCGGUAAGACGAGGGGUGCGAGCGUUAUUCGGAAUUAUUGGGCGUAAAGGGUGUGUAGACGGUAUGCUAAGUCUGUUGUUAAAUCUCCCGGCUCAACCGGGAAUCAGCAGUGGAUACUGGUGUACUAGAGGGUGGAAGAGAGAAGUGGAAUUCUCGGAGUAGCGGUAAAAUGCGUAGAUCUCGAGAGGAACACCAAUGGCGAAGGCAGCUUCUUGGUCCAUUUCUGACGUUGAAACACGAAAGCGUGGGGAGCAAACAGGAUUAGAUACCCUGGUAGUCCACGCCGUAAACGAUGAUCACUAGACGUCAGUUUCGCUCUGCGGAAUUGGUGUCGUAGCUAACGCGUUAAGUGAUCCGCCUGGGGAUUACGGUCGCAAGACUAAA